GACGAACGCUGGCGGCGUGCUUAACACAUGCAAGUCGAGCGGUAAGGCCCUUUCGGGGGUACACGAGCGGCGAACGGGUGAGUAACACGUGGGUGACCUGCCCUCAGCUCUGGGAUAAGCCUGGGAAACUGGGUCUAAUACUGGAUAUGACUCCACGGUGCAUGUCGUGGGGUGGAAAGCCUUGUGCGGCUGAGGAUGGGCCCGCGGCCUAUCAGCUUGUUGGUGGGGGAUGGCCUAUCAAGGCGACGACGGGUAGCCGGCCUGAGAGGGCGACCGGCCACACGUGGGACUGAGACGACGGCCCAGACUCCGUACGGGAGGCAGCAGUGGGGAAUCUUGCGCAAGUGGGACGAAAGCCUGACGCAGCGACGCCGCGUGAGGAUGA
Molecule: ribosomal RNA, 385 nt
Filed under: uncultured bacterium
Lineage: Bacteria
Description: bacterial SSU rRNA
Rfam family: Bacterial small subunit ribosomal RNA
Source: RNAcentral